AUGUACAACAUCAAUGUGACGUGUGGAGAGAUUGAGACUGAAUACAGACUUCAUGCUGAUUUACUGAACUACACCAAUAAUCCUGACUGUGAUCAGAGCUGGUAUUCACAGGGCAAGCGUCUGUUAGCAGAUCCAUCAGAUCCUCAAACACUGUUUGAUCCUGCUAUUUCUGUCUCGUCUGACCAUCUCUUCACUUCUCACUGUGUGGAUAAAGUUCAUCAUGAGAUCAUCUGUCAUUCUGCUGAAUUAAGAUAUGAGACUAUAUUUAGAGCAAACGCAGAAUUUUUGAAGGAAACUUCAGGGUUUUUGGUCCUUGUAAUUAACGUCAUAGAGGUUUGGAGUGACAUGAAGGAGAUGUUUAAUGGCACAGACUCCAUUAGCAGACCAAGACAAACUCCAGAAUCACAUCAGUUGUGGUGGAUUUCUGCCCUGAUCUUCAUUGUUCUUCUGGUUUUGAUCUGUUUCUUCUUGCGUAAAAGGAUCUCCAAUUGUAUUUCGAGAACAGUUACAAGCAUAUUUCAGCGCAAUGAUUCAGAAAACAGAGAUCCUGAAUCUGGUGUCCAAAUGAAGAUCACUGAAUCAAUCUGAAUCUGAACAGAUCAAUGGCUCCAUGUCCAGAGGAUGAUCAGAAACAUGCAUUGAUUUGAACUCUGAUCAGUCAGGAUGAUUGAUUGUUUUAAUGAUUCACUUUAAUGAAAUGUUUCCUGUGACAAAAUUGUCUGACCAGUCAUUUUUUUGUUAAAUUUGAUUUAUUAGUGAAUGUCUCUGUACAGACAGAUGAAUGUGAUUGAAUAUGUUUUCAGCAGGACUGUAAGUGGAUCAGAAACUGUUUUUACAUUACAGAUUAAAUCGUGAUUAAAUGAUUGUAGCUUUUCCCCAGAUUUCUAUUAGCUUUCAUGAGAUAACCAGUGGAAUGUCACCACAGAGGACUUCUAAAACGCAUCUCUCUCUCUUCAUAUAUACACAUAGAAAGAGUCACGUGGAGAGAUUAAGAGCAUUGUGUUGGGACACAUCAGUCAUUUGUGUUGCAUUAGCUGAAAACAGUGCAUCUGUAGUUCCCAGAAUCUUCAGCCGCUUCAAACUCUCAGAGCAGAUGGUGACCUUCAGAAACCACAGGAAGAAUCGGUAAAGAGAUGUCAGUGAUCGACACUCCUGGACUUUAUGAUACUAUAGCUGUUAUGAUGGAAAUAGUGAAAUACAUAAGACAGGCCACACACUUGAAGAUUCUGAGCCCAAUUUUGAGCCUAAUUUGCACCCCAAGCAAUCAGGGGUAUGGCCCAAUUCGAGGCAAAUUACUUUUUGUCCAAAAAAAAACUUCUGUGGUGACAUUACGAUUAUUUAACUGCUCCCGAUCAAACUCAAAUUGUAAAUAUGCUUGAUAUUUAGGACUCCUGAUCAGGCUGCAUCCUACGUGAUACCUGUGAUAGCCAAUAAGAGUGAGCAAGCAUUGCCUACUGGAUGUUGUGUGCUGCUAUAGCUAAAACAGUAUGGAGAAAGAAGAUCAUCCAGAUUUUUUUUUUGUUCAUAGGAUUAUAAUGUUAAACAUCGGUUGAAACUGUCCGAUGAUUGAUCUCCUUUCACUUGAAGAGAGAUUUACUGUAUACACUGCUCUGUUCUGAUGACAUGAGAAUAAAAAUGACAAAUCAAGUUGAACGCUCUGGAUUUCUCAGAGAAUUACACAAGGCCAUGCAGGAAGGACGUAUGCUCACUUCCUGAGGCCAGGGACGUGCUACAGUGUGUGUGUAAAACUUAGUAAAAAAAAAAGUAGGUCAAGGUGGCAUGAGGAAGUGAGGUUUACAUUUAACCAAUUAUGCAUAAAUUUGGAGAAGGAUUUUAAAGACUCUGUUGAAAGUAAUCUUAACCAUGAAGUGUUUUUUAGAGAGGCUAUGGACUUUACAUUUGGCAAAAUGGAGGAAUCGUGGUGACACUAGAGAGAGAGAUUAUCGUUUUAAGAGGAGAGACAAGAAAUGGGUGAAACAGCUGGAGCAGACAAAGGAUCCAGAAGCCACCAUCUCUCCUCCCACUGUGAUGACCAGCCCACUGCCUCCCACGUCAACCCCUGGCUUUCCUCUGACCAACAAUCCCAGCAUGCAGGUUGAAGACGACACCCUCCAGGGAUUUACCAUCUCUCCCUCUACUCUACCGACCAACCGGAUCGUGGUGUGGGAACACCAGGGCGUGCUGUAUCAGCAGAUCCAGAAUAGGGAUGACAACUACAAGGUCCAGCUCAUCGUCCCUAAGAUCCUGGCCCAGCAGAUGGUACAGCACUUCCAUCUGAGGACAGCAGAGACAUCAUAGGUGUCUAAAGACCCUCCUGGAAAUCCUGAAAGUAGCAUGGUGGUCCACGAUUACCUUUCCAGCACUUUGGAUUAUCACUACUGUGGACUUUUGUAUGUACACCAGUGGACACUUCUGGGACACAUCUAAUCUAAUCUAAUCUAAUCUACAGCAUGAUAGGAUUCUUAAAGACUCUUUUAUGGUAUGGAACUGAAAGUCUCUGUGCUUUUAACAGGGUCGCCGUGAUUUUGCCAAGUAAGACAUGUUCCUGGAUCAACAUCUUUUGAUGAUCCUGGAUCAACAUUAUUGUCCAAAACUAUAGAUUUAGCCCAAUCCCAAUCCCUACCACUAAACCUAACCCUACCCAUAAUUUAUUCCUAAAAUCAGUGUGAAAUGAUAUCUGAUUUACAAGAGUGUAGUACCACCUAACCCUGAUUGUAAGGAUAUUUCCUUAAAGGUUAUAUCUCUAUUCUGAUUGGUUGAUUGGAAUGUUGUUUCAGGAUAAACAAGGAUGUUGAUCCAGGAACAUGUUGUACUUGGUGAAAUCACGCUCACUGCUUUUAACAGCCUAGGUUUUUCUUUUUUACUGUGUUUUUUUUAAGCUGCAUGUUGAAAUUGUAAAUACAGUUUAUUUAUUAAUUUCAUAACUGUUGUACGUCUCGUCUUUUUAAACACCCCAAACAACAUGACUGAUCAACCCCGUGAAAAAGGUGCUUUACAUGCACCACACAUCCAAUCGCUGUUUUGGACUAAGAUCCAUUCAGGUUAUGAAAUUGCCAUCCUGUGAUGAUUUGCUUGUAUUCCUCAACUGUAAGUUACUUUGAAUAAAAGCAUGUGCUAAAUGAAUAAAUGCAAACGUUAAAAAAAACCGUUUGUGUCAAAAUAAGAGCAAUGUGUAUGUAAAUCAAGACAGCGCCGCGUGAGAGUUUGUUCUCAGUUUCUUCAAGAUUUCACACAUAAAACCACAAAACUCAUAUUGGAACAAAAUGUUGAGUUUCACUUCUUGUGAACUGUCCUUUAGAGUAGACAUUAAAUGUGUCUGUGGGGCCACUAAAGUCACAAACUCUGAAAACACAGCCGGAUGGUAGGAGGGACCUGCCACUUGGUGGUAGCCAAUCAGUAUCGACCAAUGUGGCAGCCACCAAUCACACGUAACUGUGACAGAAGUAAAUACUUCAGUAAUGGUGGGGAUUUUUGAAGCGGUUUGAAAAUUAAUGAUUGGUGUAAUGAAUAAUUGUUGCGUUGAAGUUUACUUUUAUGUUAGUGAAUGACUGUAACUUUGCCUACUUUAGUUUAAUUGGUUAACUUUAGUUAAAUUGGUUAAGUAGAAACAGAUGUGUACCAUGUGUUACAUUUAUAAUAAUUGUUGGUCUUAGUACACUAGGGGGAUACCAUUAACUUAAAAAAUAUCUUUUAACCAUUAAAUAUUAACGUGUUAAAAGAUUCUACUGUAUAAUAAAAAAAUAAUGUUUGACUGGAAUAGAAGUUACACAUGCAAUACAUACAAUAU
Cyprinus carpio carpio is the source of this 3787-nucleotide long non-coding RNA. Lineage: Eukaryota; Metazoa; Chordata; Actinopteri; Cypriniformes; Cyprinidae. The record is from Ensembl.